CCAGCUAGUAUUUAUUUUUGAUUAUACCUGUAUAUCAUUUUAACGAGACAAAACCUGUUUUAACAAUUAUAUAUUUUAACUUGUUAUUCUAGUCCUUUAUAUUACUCGAGACACUUGACAUUUUUCAGCAGAUAGACGAGCUUCUAUAUGGCUAACUAUUUUUUUACAGAGAAGAGAGUUCGAUGUUGUUUUUUAGCAAUGUAUAUUUAAAACAAAUUUCUUAUACGUAUAUAGUAACGAAAAUAUCGAUUCAUAUUAUUAUUAUUAUUAUUAUAAGCUCUCUCUUUAUUCAGGGAGACACCGUUCGUGUAUAUAUUUAUCAUUUUAGGGUCCUAAUUUUUUUUUUAACUUGAUAUACCUUAAUACGGUCUACAUUCUAUAUGUGAUAAUAACUUUGUUUUAUUUUUUUUCCUUCUCUCUUUGUUCAUACAAUUCUACACAGUAUCUUAUGAUAAUUUUUACGUUUAGGAAUGAACAGUCAAUUUUAAUUAUUACGAUAAAAUAAAGCAAGUUAUUUUUAAGUUGUUUAUAUUACUUUAUACUCGUUUCUGUUCGUUUGGCGUUUAGGACCGAACGACAAUGGAAUAAAAUCAAAAAAUAUUAUAUGUAAGUACUUUACGAAUUUUGUGGUGAAAUUAAAUAAAAUGAACCUUGUGUAGUGUUUUAUUUGUCCUAGAUUUUAACUUGUCUUGUGGCUGUCUCAGGGGCUCACGUCUUGUGAGUACGGGUCUGGCGAACUCGAGGUGCCCUAGCUGGGCGCUCACUUUGUUUCAACUUGUCUUUGGUGAGGUCCUCUAUUUUCUUUUCUGUAUAGAUCUUCCUUGAUCAACUCUUGUUUUCUUCCUAUUUUCGUUCUUUUUUUCUUCCUUUUAAGACACGAUAGAAGAAGGCUCCAAUGAAUGUUUUUAGAGAAGCUUGUUUACCUUCAUGAAGAUGUUCAACCAGUGCAUUGGAGAUUAUUUUCUGCUAAAAAUAUCAUCUGCCUCUAGAGCCUGAAUGUUGUCAACAAAUAUGGAUAAUGCAUUAGUGUUCCCAAACAGUGCACAAGUUUCCAUCUACAUCGCACCAUGAUCCAGGUCCACUACGUGCAUCUUUUUUGAUACACCUUGUAUAUAUUGUAUUUUA
This 1125-nucleotide long non-coding RNA is filed under the name Sitophilus oryzae (rice weevil). RNAcentral describes it as "uncharacterized LOC115888771". The record is from RNAcentral. Lineage: Eukaryota; Metazoa; Arthropoda; Insecta; Coleoptera; Curculionidae.